GCCUGAGUGGCUCAGUCGGUUAAGCGUCUGACUUCAGCUCAGGUCAUGAUCUCACGGUCCGUGAGUUCGAGCCCCGCGUCAGGCU
This 85-nucleotide transfer RNA is filed under the name Felis catus (domestic cat). It matches the Rfam family "tRNA". From Rfam's summary of the family: Transfer RNA (tRNA) molecules are approximately 80 nucleotides in length. Lineage: Eukaryota; Metazoa; Chordata; Mammalia; Carnivora; Felidae. The record is from Rfam by way of RNAcentral.